GGGUUCCAAGUAGGGUAGUGAGAGAAGCUCCUCCUUUUCUCUUGACCCCCCUCUGUCCAUUCCACUUUAUCCUUUUCUUCAUCGUCUUCCAUGUUAUGCCUCUAAUCUCUAGCACUAACCUAUGGCCCACCUAUGCCUCUGUCUGAGGUUUGGAUCUGAUCUGGUUUGGGCUCUUGAGGUUGGGUUUGGCAGUUGAUGUUUUAGACCUUGAGUAAUGGAUCUAGUGUCUCCAUGGCCCCCACCCUCAUCUGGCAUAUUCACUCUCAGCCUUGCUCUUAAAUUGGCCCACCCACUCUCUUAAUGCCUUUCUCCUUCUCAUUCUUGGUUAUAUUUUGAGGUUAUCUGGCAUCUCCUAAUAUACUUUCCUAGAAGGUAUUUUCUUGCUAGUUUAUAGGCAAAAUCCAGUGGCCUACUAGCGAUUCUCAUCUGGCUCAUGUUAGUAGGGGAGAAUGUUGAUGGUUUUCGAUUUGAGCAGUUUGGAUCUGGUUUUGGUGCCUCAGUUUUGAGCUGUGUUUGGUCCAUUAUGGUGUGGCUCUGCUGUGGUGAAGUUUUAAAUUGAUUUAAAUUAAAGUUUUCUUCGGCGGGUCUAAUCAAUUUGACGAUUACCCAAGUUGAUUCCCCUUUGCUGCUUGUUAUUUUCCUUUAGUGGAGUCAAUUUGGUGUUUUAGCAGUUCUGGUGGCCUUAUCAGUUCGUUAUGAUUAUAUGGUUUAUUUCUAUUUUUCGGUUGAUUGGGUUUGUUCUUGAGAGGGGUUCUUGUUCCAAUAAGUUCGAUUUGUUAAUUUUGUUUUGGCCGAUUGAUUGCCUGGAUUGCUAGUCUCGUCUUUGUUGCUUUUCCUUUGUUCAUAUUAACAUGUUCUUAUUCUUAUCAAUUGAUGCUAUUUGUUCAAGGUGUUCAAUGGUCUUUAUGGUGGGGUUGCGGAUGGAGCCCUUCUCAUCGUAACCAUUUUGCUGGUACCUGUUGGGGUAGCAGCAGAUGAUUUUCAUGGCUGGUUUGUUGGCUCACGGUUUCAGUCUGGGACAAUGUGUUAGUGGGUCUCUGUUGGUUAUGGUUUUUUGCAUUGGGCCCCACGUUGCUGAUAAUCUGAAUGUGGUUUCCUUAGCAACAUGUGGAUGUGUUAGUGGGAUUGCUAGUUAUUUCAAUGGGGCCCAUAGGCUUUCAAAUAUCUAAUGCUGCUUCAAAAUUUGAAUUGGUUUCCUUUGGAUCGUAUUGGAUCGUGGGUCUGCCCUUGUGAGCUGUGUUUUCUGUUGAUUGGCUCAUGUUAUUUUGUUUAUUUGGAUAGCUUAUCUAUGGGAUUGAUUUAUGUAACUAGUUUAUUUUAGUUAUUUUCAAUUGCUUAGCCUCAGACCGAAGGAAACGUGUAUUUAGGUUAGGCAUUUGGUUUCCUAGUUUUUUCUAGGUGUUUUAGUCCUCUCGGCAGAAAGAGGACUAUGUUGUGAUCUUUAUUGUAAUAUCUUUAGUUAUUUUGCAAUUUAAUACACAAACAAAUUUAGCAAAAAAAGAAAAAGAAAAAAAAAAGAGAGGAUUUUAAGCACAAGUUCUUUAUUUAAUUACAUGCGAUGUAUAUGUAUAUCUCUAUCCUAGACAUAAAUUAUGUAUUCCAAUGCCAUGCAGAAAAUACAAUCACAUGAUACUAUGAUCAUAUCUAAAUCUAUAAUUCAUCUCUCAAGUUCAUAUAGAUUAUCACGAUAAUUGUUAGCUAGACAAUUAAGCAAUUCAUCACAAAUCAU
This 1729-nucleotide long non-coding RNA is filed under the name Panax ginseng (ginseng). RNAcentral describes it as "long non-coding RNA (PGIN_LNC005163)". Lineage: Eukaryota; Viridiplantae; Streptophyta; Magnoliopsida; Apiales; Araliaceae. The record is from RNAcentral.